GGAUGAUAAGCGAAUUGGUGAGCAGUCUCACUGGAACUGAGAUACCGAGCAAUCGGCUGCGGGUUCGAGUCCCGUGUCAUCCG
Molecule: transfer RNA, 83 nt
Filed under: bacterium
Lineage: Bacteria
Also listed under: 1 other name
Description: tRNA-Ser
Rfam family: tRNA
About the family: Transfer RNA (tRNA) molecules are approximately 80 nucleotides in length.
Source: RNAcentral